UGGGGAAUUUUGGACAAUGGGCGCAAGCCUGAUCCAGCCAUGCCGCGUGCGGGAAGAAGGCCUUCGGGUUGUAAACCGCUUUUGUCAGGGAAGAAAUCUUCUGAGUUAAUACCUCGGGAGGAUGACGGUACCUGAAGAAUAAGCACCGGCUAACUACGUGCCAGCAGCCGCGGUAAUACGUAGGGUGCAAGCGUUAAUCGGAAUUACUGGGCGUAAAGCGUGCGCAGGCGGUUUUGUAAGACAGAGGUGAAAUCCCCGGGCUCAACCUGGGAACUGCCUUUGUGACUGCAAGGCUUGAGUGCGGCAGAGGGGGAUGGAAUUCCGCGUGUAGCAGUGAAAUGCGUAGAUAUGCGGAGGAACACCGAUGGCGAAGGCAAUCCCCUGGGCCUGCACUGACGCUCAUGCACGAAAGCGUGGGGAGCAAAACAGGAUUAGAUACCCUGGUAGUCCACGCCCUAAACGAUGUCAACUGGUUGUUGGGAAGGUUCCUUCUCAGUAACGUAGCUAACGCGUGAAGUUGACCGCCUGGGGAGUACGGCCGCAAGGUUGAAACUCAAAUGAAUUGACGGGGUCAUAGCUGUUU
This 583-nucleotide ribosomal RNA is filed under the name uncultured bacterium. RNAcentral describes it as "partial 16S ribosomal RNA". It matches the Rfam family "Bacterial small subunit ribosomal RNA", at positions 355 to 935 of the family's 1533-position model. The record is from RNAcentral.